Gossypium arboreum is the source of this 448-nucleotide long non-coding RNA. RefSeq lists it as uncharacterized. Lineage: Eukaryota; Viridiplantae; Streptophyta; Magnoliopsida; Malvales; Malvaceae. The record is from RefSeq and is a predicted model, not a curated record. The transcript has 2 exons.
CAUGUCAUCCCCACAAGCACAUCAUGUGCCAGCAAUCUUCGUAAACUUGCAACGGGAUACUAUCAGAGCUACGAACCUUGUUGCAACAAAAUUUGUCUGAGGGCCACGUUGGGUUCAGUGGAACAAACCUCCUGCUGGUACUGUUAUUAAAUACUGAUGGAGCAAUUCGGUGUAGCUCUCGAAUGGCUUCAGGGGGGUCUCUUGCGAAAUGAAAAUGGAGACUGGAUGGAAGGUUUUAUGCUGAAUAUAGGGGUGACUACUCGUGCCGAAUUUUGGGGAGUUCGGGGAGGGUCUGUUUUUUAGAUAAUUUAAUAUUUGAAUAUGAUGUUUUUUUUUUUUUUUGAGUUAGUGUGAAUAUUUGUCACUAUGUUUUAGGUGAAAAUUGAAAUUUGUCAUUAUAUUUUUCAUUAAUUGAUAUUUAUUAUUAUACUUUUGAACUAAAGAUAAA